CCCUUAGAUGUUCUGGGCUGCACGCGUGUUACAAUCGGGAGUCCAACAAGAUUGCAAAUCCUAGUGGAUGAGUGGUUCUUCGAAAUUUUCUGAAGACUGGGAUAGUUGAUUGAAAUUAUUCAACUCGAACGAGGAAUUCCUUGUAAUUGUAAUUCAUUAUAUUGUAAUGAAUACGUCCCUGCCCUUUGUACACACUGCCCGUCGCUCCUACCGAUUGAACGAUCCGGUGAAUUAUUUGGAGUAGCUCUGGAAGUUGCAGAACUUCCUAUGUCACGAAAUUUUGUAAACCUUAUCGUUUAGAGGAAGGAAAAGUCGUAACA
Molecule: ribosomal RNA, 320 nt
Filed under: uncultured eukaryote
Lineage: Eukaryota
Description: partial 18S ribosomal RNA
Rfam family: Eukaryotic small subunit ribosomal RNA
Source: RNAcentral